GUUGAACGCUGGCGGCAGGCUUAACACACGCAAGUCGAGCGGGGGAAGGUAGCUUGCUACCGGACCUAGCGGCGGACGGGUGAGUAAUGCUUAGGAAUCUGCCUAUUAGUGGGGGACAACAUCUCGAAAGGGAUGCUAAUACCGCCUACGUCCUACGGGAGAAAGCAGGGGAUCUUCGGACCUUGCGCUCAUAGAUGAGCCUAAGUCGGAUUAGCUAGUUGGUGGGGUAAAGGCCUACCAAGGCGACGAUCUGUAGCGGGUCUGAGAGGAUGAUCCGCCACACUGGGACUGAGACACGGCCCAGACUCCUACGGGAGGCAGCAGUGGGGAAUAUUGGACAAUGGGGGGAACCCUGAUCCAGCCAUGCCGCGUGUGUGAAGAAGGCCUUAUGGUUGUAAAGCACUUUAAGCGAGGAGGAGGCUACUCUAGUUAAUACCUAGGGAUAGUGGACGUUACUCGCAGAAUAAGCACCGGCUAACUCUGUGCCAGCCGCCGCGGUAA
This 501-nucleotide ribosomal RNA is filed under the name uncultured bacterium. RNAcentral's name for it is "partial 16S ribosomal RNA". It matches the Rfam family "Bacterial small subunit ribosomal RNA", at positions 28 to 523 of the family's 1533-position model. The record is from RNAcentral.